AUAUCACCUGAUCUCAUCUGACCUUGGAAGCUAAA
RNAcentral lists this ribosomal RNA (35 nucleotides) under Otolemur garnettii (small-eared galago). Lineage: Eukaryota; Metazoa; Chordata; Mammalia; Primates; Galagidae. The record is from RNAcentral.